AGCGAACGCUGGCGGCAGGCUUAACACAUGCAAGUCGAGCGGGCGUCCUGUAAGAGUCAGCGGCAAACGGUGGAGUAACGCGGGGGAACGUGCCCUACGUUUCAGAAUAACUCAUGGAAACUUAAACUAUUAGCGGAUACACGCUAGAGCAGCAAAGUUUAUCUGCGGAAGAAUCGGCCCGCUUCGGACUUUGUAGGUGGUGAGGAUAUGGCUCACGAAGGGGAGGAUCACUAGCUAGCCUGAGAGAAUGAUCAGCCACACUGGGACGGAGACACGGCCCAGACUCCUACGGGAUGCAGCAGUGGCGAAUAUUGGACUAUGGGGGCAAUCCUGAUCCAGCCAUGCCGGGUGAGUGAUUAUGGCCUUAGGGUUGUAAAGCUCUUUUCUCCGGGACGAUAAUGACGGUACCGGAGGAAUAAGCCCCGGCUAACUUCGUG
This 437-nucleotide ribosomal RNA is filed under the name uncultured bacterium. RNAcentral describes it as "partial 16S ribosomal RNA". It matches the Rfam family "Bacterial small subunit ribosomal RNA", at positions 29 to 507 of the family's 1533-position model. The record is from RNAcentral.